Molecule: long non-coding RNA, 1940 nt
Filed under: Strigops habroptila (Kakapo)
Lineage: Eukaryota; Metazoa; Chordata; Aves; Psittaciformes; Psittacidae
Description: lncRNA (ENSSHBG00005001849.1)
Source: RNAcentral
UUAGACUUAACAGUAGAUUUUAUUAUUCAUUAUCCAUAUAGCAAGCACAUGACUAAAGAUAUAGUCACUAGUCUUGAGUUUCAGUAUCUGUCAUUUUAUGCACAUCACUGCUCAGUUUCAAAUUUGUGUGACGUAUUCUAAUAAUUUCAGACCUACACUGGAGGUACUUUGCAACUCAUAUAGUUUGCCAUUCCACAGUCAGUGUGAGAUUGCAAGGCCCAGUUCUCAGCUCAAGGUCCAGUGGAGCUACUGAUUUAUCCCAGCUGUAGAUUUGAAUCUGUUGACAUGAUGAAUUAUUGUUGAUCCCAAUGCAAGUUUCUAGUUGUAUAUUAUGAACAUUACAGUAUAUGACCCUAUGUAGAUCCUGAGUCAUAGCCAUUUAGUUAACUGAAAAACCCCAAAUGUUUACUUCUAGCAGUGCUGCUGAGCCAUUAACUGUGAUUAUUAUUAAACUGCAGUAAAAACCCCUAUGUUUUAGUGUGCUUAUACAUUCACAGAAAAAAUGCUAAGACCCUGAUUUUCCAAGAUCUUCAUUGCUGUUGAUGAUUAAUGGCAAGUGACAGUCAGCUGAAAGAACAAAGCAAGAUUUUCAAAUAUCUGACAGAGUAUAAAGAACUGGCAAAUCUUAAAUUCUCUCCUGCUGUCAGAUAUCAUACUUCUAUUUGGACUACAUUUUGUGCAUUUCACAAAAUUAACUAAAAUACCAAAUCAUACAGAUUUAAGAACAUACUUCGAUAAAACUGAUGCAUAUCUGGAUGCUGAUAAUUUUGAAUAUAUUAAGACAACAUCAUAUUGAGCUCAUUAACAUUCAUAUUUGCAAACAUCCCACAGGCCAAAGAAAACAAAAAACUAAUAAAUGUACUGAGAAAACCCAUACCUCAGUAUGAAAUCCUGACCCCUUCUCCAACUAAGUACACACAGUCCAAAUACACUGAGAAUGCCAAGCUACAGGGGCCCCUCUGUGGGGAAACCUGUAAUUCAGUCAGCAGCAUCCGUCAGCCAAAAUAGAAGUUGUAGGGACAGAUGCUAGAGAGAGGAUGACACUUUAAAGUGGCGGUUGAUUUCAGAACGAGUGUGUGCUUCUGUACACAAUUCAGUCAAUGCCACACUUGUACUGGUGCAAUGUUUCACCUGGAUUUAUGUGCAGCACACAACUAUCACUCUAGGGUCGUUUUAGUGUAGGUUAUGGUGCUAAUUGGGCUCCCCAUCCUGCAGCCUACCCUGACUAGGCCACUUGAUGUCACAUCUCCCAGCAGGGUCACCCAAGGCAGCGAAGGAGAAAACAAGUGUGUUAUACAACUCCCUCGACUUCUGCAGCAAAGAAAUUCUGUCACACUUGGGAAACAAUUGCCAGCUUAAAAUCCACAGAUCUUGGCCUCAGGCUUGUUUAGGCAGCACCAUGCCGGUGCCUCUGACCAGUGCCACAUUCCCACCGUUUUGGGACACCCCUGCAGGCAGCAGCAGACAGGUUUGAAGGCUGGGUAAAGGCAAUCGGGAAACUGCCACGUCCAUUUUGCUUCUUGUCCACGGUGGCCUGGAUGUUAACAUGCUAAAGCCAGAGCUAAAACGGCGUUUCAGCUAGCUUACAGGGGAAAGCGGUGUGACAAGCAGCUGCUUCCGAGGGGAACGGCUGCCGCAGUCGUCCAGCCGGGGCCUCUUUAUAAACUGAGAAGCUGGUUUCGCCCCACGCACACACGGCGGGGCCGUAGCUUUUGAGCCGGCCACCGCUGUAGUUGUGUCGCGGCAGCGCUGCUGGGGCCGAGGGCCAGGCCCAGCGCACCCGAGGGGCUCGGCAGAGCCGCCGGCUGGGACCGCUCGGUGCCGGCGUGCCCAGGGACGGCCGGGCAUGGAGGCGGCCGAGCGGCAAGCGCAGGUGGGCCGGCACCUCUGCCGCUCCCCGGGGCACAGACUCGAACGGCCGCGGUUUCCAUGGCGACGCC